GAUGAAUAACGUAGCGAAAUGCGAUAAGUAGUGUGAAUUGCAGAAUUCAGUGAAUCAUCGAAUCUUUGAACGCACAUUGCGCCCUUUGGUAUUCCUUAGGGCAUGCCUGUUCGAGCGUCAUUUCAACCCUCAAGCCCUGCUUGGUGUUGGGCGUUUGUCCUGCCUCCGCGCGGGACUCGCCUCAAAGACAUUGGCGGCCGGUUUCCCUUUGCAGGCCACGAGCGCAGCACAGCGAGCGCUCUACGUGGACGCGGGGUCGGCGCACCAGAAGCCCUCUUUCUCGAAUUUUGACCUCGGAUCAGGUAGGGAUACCCGCUGAACUUAAGCAUAUCAAUAAGCGGAGGA
This 345-nucleotide unclassified non-coding RNA is filed under the name soil metagenome. Its description in RNAcentral is "partial contains 5.8S ribosomal RNA, internal transcribed spacer 2, and large subunit ribosomal RNA". The stretch from base 1 to 120 matches the Rfam family "5.8S ribosomal RNA", at positions 35 to 154 of the family's 154-position model. The record is from RNAcentral.